AGGGUUCGAUCCUGGCUCAGAAUGAACGUUGGCGGCGUGGAUUAGGCAUGCAAGUCGUGCGGAAAGGCCCCGCAAGGGGUACUCGAGCGGCGAAAGGGAUAGUAAUGCGUGGAUACCUACCCUCAGGCCUGGGAUAGCUGCUGGAAACGGCAAUUAAUACCAGAUAAUGUCCCCGGACCAAAGGUGUGAUUCCGUCUGAGGAGGGGUCCACGUCCUAUUAGCUAGUUGGUGAGGUAACGGCCCACCAAGGCGACGAUGGGUAGCGGGUGUGAGAGCACGACCCGCAUCACUGGGACUGAGAUACUGCCCAGACACCUACGGGUGGCUGCAGUCGAGAAUCUUCGGCAAUGGGCGAAAGCCUGACCGAGCGACGCCGCGUGCGGGAUGAAGGCCCUCGGGUUGUAAACCGCUGUCAGUGGGGAGGAAGGCUCUGUGAAGAGCAGGGUUUGACCUAUCCGCAGAGGAAGUCCGGGCUAAGUUCGUGCCAGCAGCCGCGGUAACACGAACCGGACGAACGUUAUUCGGAAUCACUGGGCUUAAAGGGUGCGUAGGCGGCCUGACAAGUUGGGUGUGAAAUCCCUCGGCUUAACCGAGGAAUUGCGCUCAAAACUGUCGGGCUUGAGGGAGUUAGAGGUGAGCGGAACUUAGGGUGGAGCGGUGAAAUGCGUUGAUAUCCUAAGGAACACCAGUGGCGAAAGCGGCUCACUGGAGCUCUUCUGACGCUGAGGCACGAAAGCUAGGGGAGCGAACGGGAUUAGAUACCCCGGUAGUCCUAGCCGUAAACGAUGAGCACUGAUCGGAGGACACUCCAUAGUCUUCUGGUCGUAGCGAAAGUGUUAAGUGCUCCGCCUGGGGAGUAUGGUCGCAAGGCUGAAACUCAAAAGAAUUGACGGGGGCUCACACAAGCGGUGGAGGAUGUGGCUUAAUUUGAGGCUACGCGAAGAACCUUAUCCUAGGCUUGACAUGCACGGAUUAACCUCGUGAAAGCGAGGCCACGCCCGCAAGGGUGGAACGUGCACAGGUGCUGCAUGGCUGUCGUCAGCCCGUGUCGUGAGAUGUCGGGUUAAGUCCCUUAACGAGCGAGACCCUUGUCACUAGUUGCCAGCGCGUCAUGGCGGGGACUCUAGUGAGACUGCCGGUGUUAAACCGGAGGAAGGCGGGGAUGACGUCAAGUCCUCAUGGCCUUUAUGCCUAGGGCUGCACACGUCCUACAAUGGUGCGUACAAAGGGAAGCAAACCUGCGAGGGUGAGCAAAUCCCAAAAAAAACGCACCCCAGCUCGGAUUGCGGGCUGAAGCCCGUCUGCAUGAAGCCGGAAUCGCUAGUAAUCGCGGGUCAGAAUACCGCGGUGAAUGAGUUCCUGAGCCUUGUACACACCGCCCGUCAAGCCACGAAAGUGGGGGGCGUCCGAAGUCGCCGUGGUAACCCGCAAGGGAGCUAAGCGCCGAAGACGAACUCCGCGAUUGGGACUAAGUCGGAACAAGGUA
This 1486-nucleotide ribosomal RNA is filed under the name metagenome. RNAcentral describes it as "bacterial SSU rRNA". It matches the Rfam family "Bacterial small subunit ribosomal RNA". The record is from RNAcentral.